GACGAACGCUGGCGGCGUGCUUAACACAUGCCAGUCGAACGGAAAGGCCUCUUUCGGGGGGUACUCGAGUGGCGAACGGGUGAGUAACACGUGAGUAACCUGCCCUUGACUUUGGGAUAACUUCAGGAAACUGGGGCUAAUACCGGAUAGGAGCUCCUGCUGCAUGGUGGGGGUUGGAAAGUUUCGGCGGUUGGGGAUGGACUCGCGGCUUAUCAGCUUGUUGGUGGGGUAGUGGCUUACCAAGGCUUUGACGGGUAGCCGGCCUGAGAGGGUGACCGGCCACAUUGGGACUGAGAUACGGCCCAGACUCCUACGGGAGGCAGCAGUGGGGAAUAUUGCACAAUGGGUGGGAGCCUGAUGCAGCAACGCCGUGUGCGGGAUGACGGCCUUCGGGUUGUAAACCGCUUUCGCUCAUGACGAAGCUUUGUGUGACGGUAGUGGGUAAAGAAGCACCGGCUAACUACGUG
This 467-nucleotide ribosomal RNA is filed under the name uncultured bacterium. RNAcentral's name for it is "partial 16S ribosomal RNA". It matches the Rfam family "Bacterial small subunit ribosomal RNA", at positions 28 to 507 of the family's 1533-position model. The record is from RNAcentral.